Molecule: ribosomal RNA, 576 nt
Filed under: Triticum aestivum (bread wheat)
Lineage: Eukaryota; Viridiplantae; Streptophyta; Magnoliopsida; Poales; Poaceae
Description: partial small subunit ribosomal RNA
Source: RNAcentral
AUGGAGGAGGCUGUUAUGGAACUCACCGAGUCAUCCGCUGAUGGUGAAUUAUUGGAUCUGACUACAGUGAGAUGCUGGCCUCCUCAUUGUUCUUGCUGGCCUCCUCAUUGUUCUUCCUAUCAAGCUACUAUUAAAUUGCUUGCGGUCAUCGUGCUCCUCGCCGGACUGGUUGCGCUGGUAGUUGUUGUUGCUACCGUCGCUCACGUCAGUGUACUGGUCGCGCUGGUAGUUAUUGUUGUUGCUACUGCCAUCGUGCGGCUCGCCGGACCGCGGCUGGUGGUGGUUCUGCACUGCGUUUGGCGUCGGCGGGCGCUGCAGGUUCUUGACACGCAGUUAUUCUGGUGGGAGCCGUGGCUAUGUGAUUCUGGCCGGCGUGCAUGCAUAGUCGGAGGACGCCGAGCCUUUCUUGAUGCCGGCGACAUCAGCUCAUGUCAGCAUGAGGCACCUUUGUCAUUUUGUUCAAGCAUAUUCGUCUCAGUGCAUUCAUCCUCUGAGCUAUCUGAUAUUGCAACAGAUCUAAGUCUCCUUUUAUUGCCACUUCGGAGCACAUGUGAUGAUGAUGAUACUUUGUCUUGA